RNAcentral lists this ribosomal RNA (429 nucleotides) under Bacteroidota bacterium. RNAcentral describes it as "Bacteroidetes bacterium partial 16S ribosomal RNA". It matches the Rfam family "Bacterial small subunit ribosomal RNA", at positions 355 to 776 of the family's 1533-position model. Lineage: Bacteria; Pseudomonadati; Bacteroidota. The record is from RNAcentral.
UAGGGAAUCUUCCGCAAUGGACGCAAGUCUGACGGAGCAACGCCGCGUGAGUGAAGAAGGAUUUCGGUUCGUAAAACUCUGUUGUUAGAGAAGAACAGCGCAUAGAGUAACUGUUAUGCGUGUGACGGUAUCUAACCAGAAAGCCACGGCUAACUACGUGCCAGCAGCCGCGGUAAUACGUAGGUGGCAAGCGUUGUCCGGAUUUAUUGGGCGUAAAGCGAGCGCAGGCGGUCAAUUAAGUCUGAUGUGAAAGCCCCCGGCUCAACCGGGGAGGGUCAUUGGCAACUGGUUGACUUGAGUGCAGAAUAGGAGACUGGAAUUCCAUGUGUAGCUGUGAAAUGCGUAGAUAUAUGGAGGACCACCAGUGGCGAAGGCGACUCUCUGGUCUGUAACUUACGCUGAGGUUCGAAAGCGUGGGUAGCAAACAGG